UAACAAGGUUUCCGUAGGUGAACNUGCGGAAGGAUCAUU
RNAcentral lists this ribosomal RNA (39 nucleotides) under Helvella lacunosa. RNAcentral describes it as "partial 18S ribosomal RNA". Lineage: Eukaryota; Fungi; Ascomycota; Pezizomycetes; Pezizales; Helvellaceae. The record is from RNAcentral.